RNAcentral lists this ribosomal RNA (465 nucleotides) under uncultured bacterium. RNAcentral's name for it is "partial 16S ribosomal RNA". It matches the Rfam family "Bacterial small subunit ribosomal RNA", at positions 28 to 507 of the family's 1533-position model. The record is from RNAcentral.
GAUGAACGCUGGCGGCGUGCUUAACACAUGCAAGUCGAACGAUGAAGCCCAGCUUGCUGGGUGGAUUAGUGGCGAACGGGUGAGUAACACGUGAGUAACCUGCCCUUAACUCUGGGAUAAGCCUGGGAAACUGGGUCUAAUACCGGAUAGGAGCGCCUACCGCAUGGUGGGUGUUGGAAAGAUUUAUCGGUUUUGGAUGGACUCGCGGCCUAUCAGCUUGUUGGUGAGGUAAUGGCUCACCAAGGCGACGACGGGUAGCCGGCCUGAGAGGGUGACCGGCCACACUGGACUGAGACACGGCCCAGACUCCUACGGGAGGCAGCAGUGGGGAAUAUUGCACAAUGGGCGAAAGCCUGAUGCAGCGACGCCGCGUGAGGGAUGACGGCCUUCGGGUUGUAAACCUCUUUCAGUAGGGAAGAAGCGAAAGUGACGGUACCUGCAGAAGAAGCACCGGCUAACUACGUG